CUAAGCUACUAAGGGCGUACGGGGAAUGCCUUGGCGCAAACAGGCGAUGAAGGACGUGGCAUGUCUGCGAAAUGCCUCGGGGAGUUGACUAGCAAACUUUGAUCCGGGGGUGUCCGAAUGGGGAAACCUAUCCAAGGGUGACUUUGGAUACUAUACACUGAAUUAAUAGGUGUAUUAGAGCGAACUUUGGGAAGUGAAACAUCUCAGUACCAAAAGGAAAAGAAAUCAAUCGAGAUACUCUGAGUAGCGGCGAGCGAAAGGGGUAUAGGCCAAACCAGGUAUCUUUGGAUAUCUGGGGUUGUAGGGCUCUUAUAAUGUGAUCCAUGAUUAGAUAGUAGAAACAGUUUGGAAAAACUUACCAUAGAGGGUGAUAGUCCUGUAUACGAAAUCGAAAAUGGCAUAGAGAGUACCUGAGUACCACAGGGCACGUGAAACCCGGUGGGAAUCUAGGUGGACCAUCAUCUAAGCCUAAAUACUCGUUUGCGACCGAUAGUGAACCAGUACCGUGAGGGAAAGGUGAAAAGAACCCCGGUUAGGGGAGUGAAAGAGAACCUGAAACCGUACGUCUACAAGCAGUUGGAGAUCUAUGGGCGUUUUCGGACGUCAAUGAUCGACAGCGUGCCUUUUGCAUAAUGAUGUGGCGAGUUGUCCUACGUAGCAAGGUUAAGCCGAGUGAGGUGAAGCCGAAGGGAAACCGAGUCUUAAAUGGGCGUUUAGUUGCGUGGGGCAGACGCGAAGCGGGAUGAUCUAGCCAUGACCAGGAUGAAGCGUGGGUAAUACCACGUGGAGGUCCGAACCGGUGAAAGUUGAAAAUUUCUCGGAUGAGUUGUGGCUAGGGGUGAAAGGCCAAUCAAAUCCCGGGAUAGCUCGUUCUCCCCGAAAGAUAUUUAGGUAUCGUCUUCAGGAAUUCUGUUACGGAGGUAGAGCACUGAAAGGGCUAGGGGUCCUACCAGAUUACCAAACCCUAUCAAACUCCGAAUGCCGUAAACUGUUACCUGGGGAAGCAGUCAUUGGGUGCUAAGGUCCGAUGACAAGAGGGAAAGAGCCCAGACCGACAGCUAAGGUCCCAAAGUUUUGACUAAGUGGAAAAGGAUGUGGAAACGCACUGACAGCCAGGAAGUUGGCUUAGAAGCAGCCACCUUUUAAAGAAAGCGUAAUAGCUCACUGGUCGAGUGGGUCUGCGCCGAAAAUGUAACGGGGCUAAAGUCAAACACCGAAGCUUCGGGUUUUACAAAAAUACUUUUUUGUAAAGCGGUAGGGGAGCGUCGUAGCGACAAUGAAGGUUAACCGAAAGGAUAGCUGGAGUUUCUACGAGUGAGUAUGCCACAAUGAGUAGCGAUAAAGAAUGUGAGAAACAUUCUCGCCGUAAACCCAAGGUUUCCCGGGGCAGGUUAAUCCGCCCGGGGUUAGUCGGGUCCUAAGCUGAGGCCGAGAGGCGUAGGCGAUGGAAAGCAGGUUAAUAUUCCUGCACCUGAUAUGAGCGUUGAAGCAAGCGGGGACGGAGAAGGGUAGCUGAUCCACCUAUUGGAUGGUGGUUCAAGCAUGUAGGCUGGAGAAAUACGAAACCAAAGGUUUCUCCUUAAGGCCGAGAUGUGAUGUCGAUGUUUUUUUUCGGAAAGACAGAGUCAGUGAUCCCAUGCUUCCUAGAAAAGCCGCGUGUGGAGCAAAAUAUCAGCUCGUACCGUAAACCGACACAGGUGGGUGGGGUGAGUAUCCCAAGGCGCUUGAGAGAACCCAGUCUAAGGAACUCUGCAAAUUGGCACCGUAACUUCGGGAGAAGGUGUGCCUUUUCUGGUGAUUAGACUUGCUUUAUAAGCUGGAGAAGGUUGCAGUGACCAGGCGGUGGCGACUGUUUAUCAAAAACACAGCACUCUGCAAAACCGUAAGGUGAGGUAUAGGGUGUGACGCCUGCCCGGUGCUGGAAGGUUAAAGGGAUCCGUUAGUCGUAUGGCGAAGCGGUGAACUGAAGCCCCAGUAAACGGCGGCCGUAACUAUAACGGUCCUAAGGUAGCGAAAUUCCUUGUCGGGUAAGUUCCGACCUGCACGAAUGGCGUAACGAUCUCCGCACUGUCUCGGGCUGGGACUCAGCGAAAUUGUGCUUGCUGUGAAAACGCAGUGUACCUGCGGCAAGACGGAAAGACCCCGUGAACCUUUACUGUAGCUUGACACUGAUAUUCGGGCAAAUUUGUGUAGGAUAGGUGGGAGACUUUGAAGCGGAGGCGCUAGCUUUCGUGGAGUCGUCCUUGAAAUACCACCCUGGUUUAUUUGGAUAUCUAACCUAGGCCCGUUAUCCGGGUCGGGGACACUGUCUGGUGGGCAGUUUGACUGGGGCGGUCGCCUCCAAAAGAGUAACGGAGGCGUACAAAGGUUUUCUCAGCCUGAUUGGAAACCAGGCGACGAGUGCAAUGGCAUAAGAAAGCUUAACUGCGAGACCGACGGGUCGAGCAGAUGGGAAACCAGGUCAUAGUGAUCCGGUGGCUCCGUGUGGAAGGGCCAUCGCUUAACGGAUAAAAGGUACUCCGGGGAUAACAGGCUGAUCACGCCCAAGAGUUCAUAUCGACGGCGUGGUUUGGCACCUCGAUGUCGACUCAUCGCAUCCUGGGGCUGGAGCAGGUCCCAAGGGUAUGGCUGUUCGCCAUUUAAAGCGGUACGUGAGUUGGGUUCAGAACGUCGUGAGACAGUUCGGUCCCUAUCUGCCGUAGGCGUAGGAGAUUUGAGGGAAGCUGACCUUAGUACGAGAGGACCGGGUUGGACAAACCUCUUGUGAACCGGUUGUCACGCCAGUGGCACAGCCGGGUAGCUAUGUUUGGACGGGAUAACCGCUGAAAGCAUCUAAGCGGGAAGCCUCUCCCAAGAUGAGAUCUCCCGAGUGAAAAACUCCUAAAGACCCCUUGUAGACUACGAGGUGAUAGGCUAGAAGUGGAAGCGCAGUAAUGCGUGAAGCUGACUAGUACUAAUAGGUCGUGAGGUUUAGUAUCUCCA
RNAcentral lists this ribosomal RNA (2982 nucleotides) under Myxococcales bacterium. RNAcentral describes it as "23S ribosomal RNA". It matches the Rfam family "Bacterial large subunit ribosomal RNA". Lineage: Bacteria; Pseudomonadati; Myxococcota; Myxococcia; Myxococcales. The record is from RNAcentral.